Molecule: transfer-messenger RNA, 348 nt
Filed under: Erysipelotrichaceae
Lineage: Bacteria; Bacillati; Bacillota; Erysipelotrichia; Erysipelotrichales
Also listed under: 3 other names
Description: GWE2-51-13 sp003520745 Standard tmRNA
Rfam family: transfer-messenger RNA
About the family: Bacterial tmRNA, also known as 10Sa RNA or SsrA, is named for its dual tRNA and mRNA-like properties. Its role is to liberate the mRNA from a stalled ribosome. To accomplish this part of the tmRNA is used as a reading frame that ends in a translation stop signal.
Source: RNAcentral
GGGGGUGUCAUGGUUUCGACAGGUUGCUGUUGGAUUCAGGCUGCAGUGGAGUGGCGACCUAAUUGCCAAAACAAAAAUAACUAACAACAAUUACGCUUUCGCUGCUUAAUUAGUCUAAACUAGACUUCAGCGUGUCUCCCCGGAUUCGUCCUCAGGUUCGGGCUAGACAUCAGAAAUGAGGAAUACGGGAUCCAGCCGAUCGUACGAAGAUCUCCGACAAUCCAGUCGAUCACAUCAAACCAAGUUCGUCCGUUCGCUAAGGUUUGAUUACUAGAAGCGGAAUAAACUGUAGAUGCUUGAAUGUGAAGCACAAUUUGGACAGGGGUUCGACUCCCCUCACCUCCACCA